UGGGCGUGAAAGCUCCGGGCCCAACCCGGAGAGGUCGAUCAAUACUGCGUGUCUAGAGGGUGUCAGAGGGGAGUGGAAUUUCCGGAGUAGCGGUAAAAUGCGCAGAGAUCGGAAAGAACACCAAUGGCGAAGGCAGCUCCCUGGGGCAACCCUGACGCUAAGAGACGAAAGCUAGGGGAGCGAACAGGAUUAGAGACCCUGGUAGUCCUAGCCCUAAACGAUGGAUGCUGGAUGUGGGGCCAUAGCGCUCCGUGUCGAAGCGAACGCGUUAAGCAUCCCGCCUGGGGACUACGGCCGCAAGGUUAAAACUCAAACGAAUUGACGGGACCCCGCACAAGCAGCGGAGCGUGUGGUUUAAUUCGAUGCUACACGAAGAACCUUACCUGGGUUUGACAUCUAGGUGGUAGUGAAGCGAAAGCGGAGCGACCCUUCGGGGAGCCUAGACAGGUGCUGCAUGGCUGUCGUCAGCUCGUGCCGUGAGGUGUCGGGUUAAGUCCCGUAACGAGCGCAACCCUUGCCCUCCGUUAUACGUGUCAGAGGGGACUGCCGGCGGUAAGCCGGAGGAAGGUGGGGAUGACGUCAAGUCAGCAUGGCCUUUAUAUCCAGGGCUACACACACGCUACAAUGGCCAGUACAAAGGGCAGCGAAGCCGCGAGGUGGAGCGAAUCCCAGCAAAGCUGGUCGUAGUUCGGAUUGCAGGCUGCAACCCGCCUGCAUGAAGCUGGAGUUGCUAGUAACCGCGCGUCAGCCAUAGUGCGGUGAAUACGUUCCCNGGGGUUUGUACACACCGCCCGUCACGUCAUGGGAGUCGAUAACGCCUGAAGCCGGUGGCCUAGCUCGGAAGAGAGGGCGCUGUCUAAGGCG
RNAcentral lists this ribosomal RNA (864 nucleotides) under uncultured organism. RNAcentral's name for it is "bacterial SSU rRNA". It matches the Rfam family "Bacterial small subunit ribosomal RNA", at positions 589 to 1464 of the family's 1533-position model. The record is from RNAcentral.